GGGGAAUAUUGCACAAUGGGCGAAAGCCUGAUGCAGCAACGCCGCGUGAGUGAUGACGGUCUUCGGAUUGUAAAGCUCUGUCUUUUGGGACGAUAAUGACGGUACCAAAGGAGGAAGCCACGGCUAACUACGUGCCAGCAGCCGCGGUAAUACGUAGGUGGCAAGCGUUGUCCGGAUUUACUGGGCGUAAAGGAUGUGUAGGCGGAUACUUAAGUGAGAUGUGAAAGCCCCGGGCUUAACCUGGGGACUGCAUUUCAAACUGGGUAUCUAGAGUGCAGGAGAGGAAAGCGGAAUUCCUAGUGUAGCGGUGAAAUGCGUAGAGAUUAGGAAGAACAUCAGUGGCGAAGGCGGCUUUCUGGACUGUAACUGACGCUGAGGCAUGAAAGCGUGGGGAGCAAAC
RNAcentral lists this ribosomal RNA (400 nucleotides) under uncultured bacterium. RNAcentral describes it as "bacterial SSU rRNA". It matches the Rfam family "Bacterial small subunit ribosomal RNA", at positions 356 to 773 of the family's 1533-position model. The record is from RNAcentral.